GUGGGAAUGAAAGCAAGUAAACUAGAGUAGGAAAAGAACCGAUGGUGCACAUCUGUAACCCCAGCACACUUGAGGCUUGAGGCAGGAGGAUCACUGUGAGUUUGAAGCCAGCCUCGGCAGGGUUCAAGACCAGCCUGAACUACAUAGUGAGACCCUGUCUCCAAAAACAAAACAAAAACUGUUUGGUAGCUGACAACAACUACAGGGCCAUUUUUCCCCCUUUGUACUCCAUGCCAUAAGGUUUUUUGGGGAAAGUACCUUCAGAACUUUUUGGAUGUACGUGUAGUGCAUUCUUCAUUCACCUAAAAUUGCCCUUUCAUUCAGCUCUCAGGGAAAACUGAAAGAGAUGACUAAACUACUAGAUAAGAAGUAAGCGCGUGCACCAUCUGGCUCAGAAUUCUGAGGGCAGGAAUGCUAGAUUAAGGCAAUUUACUCUCCGAGACAAAAGUGCUGUGGUCAGGGGUGACAUCUCGCCCAUCCCCAAUUCUCAUUCUGAGUCAAGCCCUUGAAAGCAACAGAAAACAAUGAAUUACUGCACCGAUUCCUUCUGGAGGAAUCCUGUUCAAUUUUCUUUGUAACGUUCUAAAGCUAAGCCCUUGAAAGCAACAGAAAACAAUGAAUUACUGCACCGAUUCCUUCUGGAGGAAUCCUGUUCAAUUUUCUUUGUAACCUGUUCUAAAGCCAAAGAAUUGGCGGGGGGGGGGCUUUCACACUUUUAUUUUUCUGCUAUACUUUACUAUCAUUUGAAUUCUGAAAUAUUAAGAUAACGCCUUCAUGUUACUUAAUAAAAUAACAUGCAGGUAGGGGGGAAUCAAUGGCCAAACUAUCCAAGUGCAACAGGCUGAUAGAAAGGGGGCUCUCGGGAUCCUAACCCUGACUCCUCCCUCUUCCUGGCCAGGGUGGCUAUCGGAAGCGCCCAGGGGUGUGGAGAAGCCCGCUUCUCUCCAACCCUGCGGAUGAAGUCACAGGGGCCAGAAGAAAACGCUACCCAUGCCUAAUCCUCCCGCCAUGGCCCUCGCCCGCCAUCUCCCGAAUUAAGGUUUCAGAAAAAGCUUGCAAAGUAGACAGAAGCAAGGAUUAUUCUACCCAAUGCAGCUCCUGAAUCACAGCUUUAUGGAUGAAGUGGAAGAGGGUUGAAUUUCAUUGGCUGCAGGCAUCAAGUUAUUCUACUCCCAAGUCUUCAUUUGCAGUCCCACAAACCAACGAUUUCUUUUGUGUUUAACAACUUAACCUCGAGGCCCAGUGAGGAGCUGUGUGGUUAAGAAAGCCAGUAUUUUGAUUAAUUCAUUUCAUCAAAAUUGCAUGUUAACUGUAACUGUUUGAGAGACUGUGAGGAAGCACAAGAAAUAUGAUAUGACUCCUGUCUUAACGAGCUUCGAGUGGUUUUAUAAUGUUAGGUCAACAGCACAGGAAGCAACUAGAAUUGAUUGGGGGGGGGCA
Molecule: long non-coding RNA, 1440 nt
Filed under: Fukomys damarensis (Damara mole-rat)
Lineage: Eukaryota; Metazoa; Chordata; Mammalia; Rodentia; Bathyergidae
Description: lncRNA (ENSFDAG00000025682.1)
Source: RNAcentral